This 668-nucleotide ribosomal RNA is filed under the name Clostridium perfringens. RNAcentral's name for it is "partial 23S ribosomal RNA". It matches the Rfam family "Bacterial large subunit ribosomal RNA", at positions 527 to 1195 of the family's 2925-position model. Lineage: Bacteria; Bacillati; Bacillota; Clostridia; Eubacteriales; Clostridiaceae. The record is from RNAcentral.
CGGGAGGGGAGUGAAAUAGAACCUGAAACCGUGUGCCUACAACCGCUCAGAGCCCCUUAUGAGGGUGAUGAGGUGCUUUUUGUAGAACGAGCCAACGAGUUACGGUAUGUAGCAAGGUUAAGUACUUAAGGUACGGAGCCGAAGGGAAACCGAGUCUGAAUAGGGCGACUAGUUGCAUGCCGUAGACCCGAAACCGGGUGACCUAUCCAUGGCCAGGUUGAAGCGAGGGUAAAACCUCGUGGAGGACCGAACCACGUUGCUGUUGAAAAAGCAUGGGAUGAGCUGUGGAUAGCGGAGAAAUUCCAAUCGAACCCGGAGAUAGCUGGUUCUCUCCGAAAUAGCUUUAGGGCUAGCGUCGAGUAUGAGUAGUGGAGGUAGAGCACUGAAUGGGCUAGGGGGCAUAGCGCUUACCGAACCUUAUCAAACUCCGAAUGCCACAUACUUUGAGCUCGGCAGUCAGACUACGAAUGAUAAGAUCCGUGGUCAAAAGGGAAACAGCCCAGAUCGUCAGCUAAGGUCCCAAAGUGUAAGUUAAGUGGGAAAGGAUGUGAGAUUUCUAAGACAACUAGGAUGUUGGCUUAGAAGCAGCCAUUCAUUAAAAGAGUGCGUAAUAGCUCACUAGUCGAGAGAUCUUGCGCCGAAAAUGUAACGGGGCUAAACUUACCACC